GAUGAACGCUGGCGGCGUGCCUAAUACAUGCAAGUCGAGCGAACAGAUGAGGAGCUUGCUCCUCUGACGUUAGCGGCGGACGGGUGAGUAACACGUGGAUAACCUACCUAUAAGACUGGGAUAACUUCGGGAAACCGGAGCUACUACCGGAUAAUAUAUUGAACCGCAUGGUUCAAUAGUGGAAGACGGUUUUGCUGUCACUUAUAGAUGGAUCCGCGCCGCAUUAGCUAGUUGGUAAGGUAACGGCUUACCAAGGCAACGAUGCGUAGCCGACCUGAGAGGGUGAUCGGCCAGACUGGAACUGAGACACGGUCCAGACUCCUACGGGAGGCAGCAGUAGGGAAUCUUCCGCAAUGGGCGAAAGCCUGACGGAGCAACGCCGCGUGAGUGAUGAAGGUCUUCGGAUCGUAAAACUCUGUUAUUAGGGAAGAACAAAUGUGUAAGUAACUAUGCACGUCUUGACGGCACCUAAUCAGAAAGCCACGGCUAACUACGUG
This 497-nucleotide ribosomal RNA is filed under the name uncultured bacterium. RNAcentral describes it as "partial 16S ribosomal RNA". It matches the Rfam family "Bacterial small subunit ribosomal RNA", at positions 28 to 507 of the family's 1533-position model. The record is from RNAcentral.